ACGGGAGGCACCAGUGGGAAAUCUUCCACAAUGGACGAAAGUCUGAUGGAGCAACGCCGCGUGAGUGAAGAAGGCUUUCGGGUCGUAAAACUCUGUCUUCGGGGACGAAUGUACGGCUUGUGAAUAAUGAGUUGUAAUGACGGUACCCGAGGAGGAAGCCACGGCUAACUACGUGCCAGCAGCCGCGGUAAUACGUAGGUGGCAAGCGUUAUCCGGAAUUAUUGGGCGUAAAGCGCGCGCAGGCGGGAAUAUUAGUCUAUCUUCAAAGUGCGGAGCUCAACUCCGUGAUGGGGUAGAAACUGUAUUUCUUGAGUGCAGGAGAGGAAAGUGGAAUUCCCAGUGUAGCGGUGAAAUGCGUAGAGAUUGGGAGGAACACCAGUGGCGAAGGCGACUUUCUGGACUGUGUCUGACGCUGAGGCGCGAAAGCCAGGGGAGUGAACGGGAUUAGAUACCCCGGUAAUCCUGGCUGUAAACGAUGGGUACUAGGUGUUGGGGGUAUCGACCCCUCCAGUGCCGGAGUUAACGCAAUAAGUACCCCGCCUGGGGAGUACGAUCGCAAGGUU
Molecule: ribosomal RNA, 563 nt
Filed under: uncultured Veillonellaceae bacterium
Lineage: Bacteria; Bacillati; Bacillota; Negativicutes; Veillonellales; Veillonellaceae
Description: bacterial SSU rRNA
Rfam family: Bacterial small subunit ribosomal RNA
Source: RNAcentral